Molecule: ribosomal RNA, 375 nt
Filed under: uncultured bacterium
Lineage: Bacteria
Description: bacterial SSU rRNA
Rfam family: Bacterial small subunit ribosomal RNA
Source: RNAcentral
GGGGGGAGCAAGCGUUGUUCGGAUUUACUGGGCGUAAAGGGCGCGUAGGCGGCCUCCGCAAGUCAGUUGUGAGAUCUCUCCAACUUUACCUCGGAAAGGUCAACUGAUACUGCGGGGCUAGAGUGCGGAAGGGGCAACUGGAAUUCUUGGUGUAGCGGUGAAAUGCGUAGAUAUCAAGAGGAACACCUGCGGCGAAGGCGGGUUGCUGGGCCGACACUGACGCUGAGGCGCGAAAGCUAGGGGAGCGAACGGGAUUAGAUACCCCGGUAGUCCUAGCCUUAAACGAUGAAUGCUUGGUGUCUGGGGUUAUAUAGUCCCCGGGUGCCGUCGCUAACGCUUUAAGCAUUCCGCCUGGGGAGUACGGUCGCAAGACUG